This 1248-nucleotide ribosomal RNA is filed under the name String bean virescence phytoplasma. RNAcentral describes it as "bacterial SSU rRNA". It matches the Rfam family "Bacterial small subunit ribosomal RNA", at positions 153 to 1399 of the family's 1533-position model. Lineage: Bacteria; Bacillati; Mycoplasmatota; Mollicutes; Acholeplasmatales; Acholeplasmataceae. The record is from RNAcentral.
GAAACGACUGCUAAGACUGGAUAGGAAGAUAAAAGGCAUCUUGUAUCUUUUAAAAGACCUAGUUAAUAGGUAUGCUUUAGGAGGGGCUUGCGCCAUAUUAGUUAGUUGGUAGGGUAAUGGCCUACCAAGACGAUGAUGUGUAGCUGGACUGAGAGGUUGAACAGCCACAUUGGGACUGAGACACGGCCCAAACUCCUACGGGAGGCAGCAGUAGGGAAUUUUCGGCAAUGGAGGAAACUCUGACCGAGCAACGCCGCGUGAAUGACGAAGUACUUCGGUAUGUAAAGUUCUUUUAUCGAGGAAGAAAAGCAAAUGGCGAACCAUUUGUUUGCCGGUACUUGAUGGAUAAGCCCCGGCUAAUUAUGUGCCAGCAGCCGCGGUAAGACAUAAGGGGCAAGUGUUAUCCGGAAUUAUUGGGCGUAAAGGGUGCGUAGGCGGUCUAGUAAGUCAGUGGUGUAAUGUCAACGCUUAACGUUGUCCGGCUAUUGAAACUGCUAAACUUGAGUUAGAUAGAGGCGAGUGGAAUUCCAUGUGUAGCGGUAAAAUGCGUAAAUAUAUGGAGGAACACCAGAGGCGUAGGCGGCUCGCUGGGUCUUAACUGACGCUGAGGCACGAAAGCGUGGGGAGCAAACAGGAUUAGAUACCCUGGUAGUCCACGCCGUAAACGAUGAGUACUAAGUGUCGGGUUAAACCGGUACUGAAGUUAACACAUUAAGUACUCCGCCUGAGUAGUACGUACGCAAGUAUGAAACUUAAAGGAAUUGACGGGACUCCGCACAAGCGGUGGAUCAUGUUGUUUAAUUCGAAGAUACCCGAAAAACCUUACCAGGUCUUGACAUGUUUUUGCAAAAUGAUAGUAAUAUCGUGGAGGUUACCAGAAACACAGGUGGUGCAUGGUUGUCGUCAGCUCGUGUCGUGAGAUGUUAGGUUAAGUCCUAAAACGAGCGAAACCCUUAUCGUUAGUUGCCAGCACGUUAUGGUGGGGACUUUAACGAGACUGCCAAUGAUAAAUUGGGGGAAGGUGAGGAUCACGUCAAAUCAGCAUGCCCCUUAUGACCUGGGCUACAAACGUGAUACAAUGGCUGUUACAAAGGGUAGCUGAAACGCAAGUUCUUGGCCAAUCCCCAAAAACAGUCCCAGUCCGGAUUGAAGUCUGCAACUCGACUUCAUGAAGUUGGAAUCGCUAGUAAUCGCGAAUCAGCAUGUCGCGGUGAAUACGUUCUCGGGGUUUGUACACACCGCCCGUCA